This is a long non-coding RNA of Solenopsis invicta (red fire ant), 459 nucleotides long. RefSeq lists it as uncharacterized. The transcript is spliced from 3 exons. The record is from RefSeq and is a predicted model, not a curated record. NCBI's taxonomy places the organism in Eukaryota, Metazoa, Arthropoda, Insecta, Hymenoptera, Formicidae.
AGAGCAAUACUUCAGAAAUCUCAACAAAGAUGAAGUGGCAGUCGAUGCAGAAACUAUUAAUCAUCUGGAUGACGAAUAAAAACCAUAGGCACAAAAAAAUUCCACAGUUUGAAAAUUGGAUAAUGUAUGUCACUUAAGGUAAUUAGAAGCUGCCAGAGAAAAUCUAAAAAAUGUGUCCAGGAUUGCCACAUCAUACUCGUAUAUCCGAUCCACACCAAUAUAAAGAUUAUUGUAAAAAACAAUAUGAUGCAAAUCAUUGCAGGUAUCAUCUAUAAUGACAUUAUAACAUUAUAUUAAAGGGCGGUAUUCAAAAACAUUAAAAAUAUCAUAUUAUGUUUGUUGAUUAAUGUUAAACAGGCAUAAAGUGAUAUUUCUAACGAUAUAUUUCUAUCUCUAAUCUUUAAAUGUAAAAAAAAUUUUAAACAAUAAAAAUUAAACAUUUAUAACUUUGUGACAAAA